RNAcentral lists this ribosomal RNA (868 nucleotides) under uncultured archaeon. RNAcentral describes it as "bacterial SSU rRNA". It matches the Rfam family "Archaeal small subunit ribosomal RNA", at positions 1 to 878 of the family's 1478-position model. The record is from RNAcentral.
UUCCGGUUGAUCCCGCCGGACCCGACUGCUAUCAGAGUGGGACUAAGCCAUGCGAGUCAACAUAGCAAUAUGUGGCAUACGGCUCAGUAACACGUAGUCAACAUGCCCAGGGGACGUGGAUAACCUCGGGAAACUGAGGAUAAACCGCGAUAGGUCAUCACUUCUGGAAUGGGUAAUGACUUAAAUCUAUAUGGCCCCUGGAUUGGACUGCGGCCGAUCAGGCUGUUGGUGAGGUAAUGGCCCACCAAACCUGUAACCGGUACGGGCUCUGAGAGGAGGAGCCCGGAGAUGGGCACUGAGACAAGGGCCCAGGCCCUAUGGGGCGCAGCAGGCGCGAAACCUCUGCAAUAGGCGAAAGCUUGACAGGGUUACUCUGAGUGAUUUCCGUUAAGGAGAUCUUUUGGCACCUCUAAAAAUGGUGCAGAAUAAGGGGUGGGCAAGUCUGGUGUCAGCCGCCGCGGUAAUACCAGCACCCCGAGUGGUCGGGACGUUUAUUGGGCCUAAAGCAUCCGUAGCCGGUUCUACAAGUCUUCCGUUAAAUCCACCUGCUUAACAGAUGGGCUGCGGAAGAUACUAUAGAGCUAGGAGGCGGGAGAGGCAAGCGGUACUCGAUGGGUAGGGGUAAAAUCCGUUGAUCCAUUGAAGACCACCAGUGGCGAAGGCGGCUUGCCAGAACGCGCUCGACGGUGAGGGAUGAAAGCUGGGGGAGCAAACCGGAUUAGAUACCCGGGUAGUCCCAGCUGUAAACGAUGCAGACUCGGUGAUGAGUUGGCUUAUUGCUAACUCAGUGCCGCAGGGAAGCCGUUAAGUUUGCCGCCUGGGGAGUACGGUCGCAAGACUGAAACUUAAAGGAAUUGGCGGGGGAGCA